AUGCUACCUACUGCUGUCCUCGGUAACAUUCAAGCAAGCAUAUUUUCUCUACCAGAACUACUGCAGUCUGUAUCACCUACGCAUUUCUCUCGAUUAAUUGGGGUCAGUAAUGUAUGGCUGUAUAACCUGCUUGCAUGUCGCAAAAAGGAAGGUUGGUUGGUUAUUCAGCUGUAUAACCUGUAUCACCUGGAGCUUGCAUGCUCAUCUCCAGUUGCAAGUUGCAACCCCUUUAUACUGUUCAGUAAAUUGAGUUCGUCCCUUUCAAGAAACUACAUAUCGCCAACCUUUGCCAUGAUCAGCUUUCGUGACGACUAA
This 315-nucleotide ribosomal RNA is filed under the name Triticum aestivum (bread wheat). RNAcentral describes it as "partial small subunit ribosomal RNA". The record is from RNAcentral. Lineage: Eukaryota; Viridiplantae; Streptophyta; Magnoliopsida; Poales; Poaceae.